RNAcentral lists this unclassified non-coding RNA (276 nucleotides) under uncultured Ascomycota. RNAcentral describes it as "sequence contains ITS2". The stretch from base 1 to 52 matches the Rfam family "5.8S ribosomal RNA", at positions 103 to 154 of the family's 154-position model. The record is from RNAcentral. Lineage: Eukaryota; Fungi; Ascomycota.
AACGCACAUUGCGCCUCCCGGCAUUCCGGGAGGCAUGCCUGUUCGAGCGUCAUUAAAAGCCAUCAGGCGAGCUUGUCUCGCCUGGUUCUGGGGGAUGGUCUGCCCUCCGGGGAGCCCACCCCCGAAAUCCAACGGCGGACAACCCACCCGUGGAACUGCGGCGUAGUAUGUUAAUUCUUUCGCCAGCAUCCAUGGAGGGAUCAUCCUGCCGGUUGCAAAACCCCCCCACAUCCAAUGGUUGACCUCGGAUCAGGUAGGGAUACCCGCUGAACUUAA